Molecule: long non-coding RNA, 908 nt
Organism: Solanum tuberosum (potato)
Lineage: Eukaryota; Viridiplantae; Streptophyta; Magnoliopsida; Solanales; Solanaceae
Exons: 2
Source: RefSeq, a predicted model, not a curated record
CAAAUACAGCAAACAGUAGCCGAAUGCCCCACCCCUGCGCUUUUCUCUUCUUCUCCGUGUGAACCAGACAGCAGCAGUGCACGUUCUCCUUCUCCCUCACGAUUCAACAAACAGCAACGUCCACAACUUUCUCUGCAACAGCUGCCCACCUUGAUCUUUUCAUCUGGAUUUUAGUGGAUUUCGUUUGAAAUCUUGUACAAAGAAUAGUUUUCCCAUCCUUGGGGAAAAAAAAUUGAAUUUGGGGAUUCCAUUGGAAUUCCUGUUCUACCCUUACCCUUUCCGAUUUCCCCCCCGAGAAUUGAACCCAAUUUUUCCCAUCUAUAUAAACCUCUUCUACUUCACUGUAAAAGAAAAAGAGGGGAAUUUUUUUUGGGAGAGCAAAAAAUACUAAGAUCAAUUUAAGCAAAGUAGUCAAAUACAUACAAAAAUACACUUCUAGAAAAGCAGAGGAGAUACUUAGUUUCAGGGUCGAGUCAGACAUUUCUGCCUAUAUAUCUCAACUGUUGUUUGUGUUUGAGCCUUAGAGCGGUGGAAUCGCUCUUCUCAUCGUCCUAGUAUCGCUGCACCGGAAAAGGCCUAAAUCUCCCUCUUAUCGAGUCAACCUCAUCAUUGGGAGCAUAUGAAGUUCGAAGAGGAAAUCUAUGUUAUAAAAGAAGCUGAAACAGGUCUCAAAAAGCCCAAAAAGAGGUUGUAUACAGCUGUAUGCAUUGAUAUACAGGUCAAAAACACAGGAACACAGGGCGGAGGUGAAACACGGAUGUUCGGAAGCAAGAUAUACAUGAAAAACACCUAUACACACGCUGAUAUACACUGACAUACAUCAGGUGUAUACAAAAAGGGGAAUUGGGUUAAGCCCAAUAGUAGCAGCGAAUUUGGCCCAAAAAGGGCCCAAAUUCAUUUCUCCUUUA